Molecule: ribosomal RNA, 485 nt
Filed under: uncultured bacterium
Lineage: Bacteria
Description: partial 16S ribosomal RNA
Rfam family: Bacterial small subunit ribosomal RNA
Source: RNAcentral
GAUGAACGCUGACAGAAUGCUUAACACAUGCAAGUCGAUGGGGAAGUGGUGCUUGCACCAUGGCAACCAUGGCGGACGGGUGAGUAACGCGUAAGGGACUUACCUGCAGGACUGGGAUAACAGGGGGAAACUCCUGACAAGACCGGAUAAUGUCAUGGAGCUGCAUGGCUUUAUGAUGAAAGGAGACGCCUGCGGAGAGCCUUGCGUCCUAUUAGCUAGUUGGUGAGGUAAUGGCUCACCAAGGCGAAGAUAGGUAGCCGGCCUGAGAGGGUGGACGGCCACAAGGGGACUGAGAUACGGCCCUUACUCCUACGGGAGGCAGCAGUGGGGAAUAUUGGACAAUGGGCGCAAGCCUGAUCCAGCCAUACCGCGUGGGUGAAGAAGGCCUUCGGGUUGUAAAGCCCUUUUGUUGGGAAAGAAAAGCAGCAGGUUAAUACCCCGCUGUUCUGACGGUACCCAAAGAAUAAGCACCGGCUAACUUCGUG